GUGCAAUGCGGGUGCUAUACAUGCAAGUCGAGCGGACAGAUGGGAGCUUGCUCCCUGAUGUUAGCGGCGGACGGGUGAGUAACACGUGGGUAACCUGCCUGUAAGACUGGGAUAACUCCGGGAAACCGGGGCUAAUACCGGAUGCUUGUUUGAACCGCAUGGUUCAAACAUAAAAGGUGGCUUCGGCUACCACUUACAGAUGGACCCGCGGCGCAUUAGCUAGUUGGUGAGGUAACGGCUCACCAAGGCAACGAUGCGUAGCCGACCUGAGAGGGUGAUCGGCCACACUGGGACUGAGACACGGCCCAGACUCCUACGGGAGGCAGCAGUAGGGAAUCUUCCGCAAUGGACGAAAGUCUGACGGAGCAACGCCGCGUGAGUGAUGAAGGUUUUCGGAUCGUAAAGCUCUGUUGUUAGGGAAGAACAAGUACCGUUCGAAUAGGGCGGUACCUUGACGGUACCUAACCAGAAAGCCACGGCUAACUACGUGCCAGCAGCCGCGGUAAUACGUAGGUGGCAAGCGUUGUCCGGAAUUAUUGGGCGUAAAGGGCUCGCAGGCGGUUCCUUAAGUCUGAUGUGAAAGCCCCCGGCUCAACCGGGGAGGGUCAUUGGAAACUGGGGAACUUGAGUGCAGAAGAGGAGAGUGGAAUUCCACGUGUAGCGGUGAAAUGCGUAGAGAUGUGGAGGAACACCAGUGGCGAAGGCGACUCUCUGGUCUGUAACUGACGCUGAGGAGCGAAAGCGUGUGUAGCGAACAGGAUUAGAUACCCUGGUUAGUUCACGCCGUAUAUUAUGAGUGCUAAUUGCUAGGGGGCUUACCGCCCUAGUGCUUGCAGCUAACGACAUUAAGUACUUCUGCCUGGGGUAUGUAGGUCGCAGUAUCUCGAAAGAUCUAAAGGCAAUUGAUAAGGUGGGCCGCUCUAAAGCGGUGGGA
Molecule: ribosomal RNA, 934 nt
Filed under: Bacillus subtilis
Lineage: Bacteria; Bacillati; Bacillota; Bacilli; Caryophanales; Bacillaceae
Description: bacterial SSU rRNA
Rfam family: Bacterial small subunit ribosomal RNA
Source: RNAcentral